UACGUAGGUGGCAAGCGUUGUCCGGAUUUACUGGGCGUAAAGAGCGCGCAGGCGGUCGAUCAAGUCGCGUGUGAAAGCCCCCGGCUCAACUGGGGAGGGUCACGCGAUACUGAUCGACUCGAAGGCAGGAGAGGGUAGUGGAAUUCCCGGUGUAGCAGUGAAAUGCGUAGAGAUCGGGAGGAACAUCAGUUGCGAAGGCGGCUCUCUGGACCAGCACUGACACUGAGGCACGAAAGCGUGGGGAGCAAACAGG
This 253-nucleotide ribosomal RNA is filed under the name uncultured bacterium. RNAcentral's name for it is "partial 16S ribosomal RNA". It matches the Rfam family "Bacterial small subunit ribosomal RNA", at positions 524 to 776 of the family's 1533-position model. The record is from RNAcentral.